This is a non-coding RNA of Oryctolagus cuniculus (rabbit), 3729 nucleotides long. The record is from RefSeq and is a predicted model, not a curated record. Lineage: Eukaryota; Metazoa; Chordata; Mammalia; Lagomorpha; Leporidae.
UAAAGCCUAGGAUGUAAAUCAGGGUGUAGAUCGCACCGCAGAUAAAGCUGCACCAUUUUCCCAACAACAGACAGCUCCGAGAUCUCAGAACUGCUUUCUCUCUCUCAGAGACCUCUACGCAGGGUGACGUUAGCUUGACGUUGUCAAGGCAACAAACAACAGUGGGUUUCAGCGAUAAAGAUUCUUGUCUCACUUGCACACAUAAAACAGUUCUGAAGGUAGGGAAGAUGGCUGGGAAGAUGGCUCCGUGGUAACCCAGAGCCCAGUCUUCUGCCACCUCAGCACUCUGUCUUCCUUAGUUUUGUUCCUUAGUUUUUGUUUUGACUGAUGGCCCAAGGUGACUGCUCAAGUUCCAGCCAUCGCACUCAAAUUUCACUGAACAGAAAGAGGAAAGAAAGAAGAGAGAGCCCUGCUUUGCCUUUAAUGGGACUUCCUGAAACUACUAAUCGGAAAGUGACCCCAGCACAUUUUUCUGGAAGCAAGAACAUUGCACGAGGAAGCAGUGUGCUGACUUCUGGGUGAUGUUUGUUCUCUACCAAGUCUGCACGACCUAAAAUUUCAUCUAGGCCACUUUGAUGUUCUGCAGAGUGAGAGAAGCCCAUCAGCUGAGACAACUGGAGUCUGGGUUUGACUUUGAUCUCACUCAGUGACAAUGUAUCAGUGUAACGGAAACGAUAACAUGGUUCAGGACUAAGUGUAAUCAGAAAACAAUUGGGGAAAAGGGGAAAAGUAUUCCUUUUGGAAACUGAAGGAUUGGAGACUCUGGCUAGAGGGAGCUCAGGGCUUCUAGAAAUCCUAGUCUUACAUUUCAUCAGCUGCUUGUGCCUUGAGUCGGGGCUGUGGGUCUUGGAUGUGUUGUCUCGGGGUAGGGGGCGGUUGCUACGUUAUCAGUGUCAAAUAAAAGUGUGAAGGAGAGAGGGGCAGAUCCCAGGGUAGGUCAUUUAGAAUGGAGACCUUCUCAAUCCAAAGGAGAGUCCUGGCGAGGAUGCCUCCCACAAGGGAAUAAGAACCGAGUCCCAUAGACACCCAGGGAAGGUGUAAGUUGCAAGUUUCCAAGGUCAUGUCCAAGUUCCUCUAGCUUUGCCUCUCUUGUGGGUACACUUGGCAUAGGUCAAGCUGCUGGCAUUUUAUUUUUAGGUUGAUUAAUUUUUAUGUUGCUGAAAGGCAGAGAGAGAGAGAGAGAGAGAGAGAGAGAGAAUAUCUCUUCCAUCCAUUGAUUCACUUUUCCAAUGCCCACAACUGCUGGGACUGAGCUAGAAUGAAGAAGCCGGGACCCAGGAACUCCAUCCCGGUCUCCUGAGUGGCUGGCGGGAACUCUAGUACUUGAACCAUCACUGCUGCCCAAGUAGUGAUGUUUAAUAGUUCUCUGAAGGUACCUAGCGGUGGACCUGUGAAGACUUACACUCCACAGUUAAUUUCCUGCCGACCUAAUUACAAGUGUUCAUUAUUACAAAGCUUGGGGCAAUGACACGUAAGAAUCUGCAGCUGCCCUGCUUAAAGUUUUGAGACUAUAUGCACUGGCAGUUAUCCUUUAAAAUGGCCCUUUGUGGGGAGGGUGUUGCGGUGCGGUGGGUGACGCUGCUGCUUGCGAGGCCUGCGUCCCAUAUCAGAGUCCUGGCUGCUGUGUGUGUGUCCACUCCAGCUUCCUGCUACUGUGCCUGGGAGGGGAGUGGAUGAUGGCCCCCAAGGACUUGGGUCCCUGACACCCAUGUGCAAAACUUGAAUGGAGUUUUGGGCUCCUGGCUUCAGCGGAGCCUAGCUCCUGCUGUGUGUGGGCAUUUGGAGAGCGAACCAGUGGAUGGAAUAUAUUCUCUCUCUCCUGUUCUCUUUCAAGUAAAUAAAUAGAUAAAUCUUCAACAGACAAAAUGGCUUUGAGCUGGUCAGUGUCGCAGCCUGGGGCAGAGAUUUGAAAGGCGUGGCUUGCAGGCUUGUAGUUGGGUACUUCUCCUGAGUUUCUAGGUCAGUGGCCUCCAGGAACUUCACUGGACAGACUUACCCAGACUCUUUUUUUUUUAAUUAAUUAAUUAAUUUGAGAGGUAGAGUUACAGAGACAGAGAUAGAGAGAGGUCUUCCAUAUGCUGGUUCACUUUCCAAAUGGCCGCAAUGGCCGGAGCUGGGCCAAUGUGAAGCCAGGAGCCAAGAGCUUCUUCCAGGUCUCCCAUGCAGGUGCAGGGGCCCAAGCACUUGGGCCAUCUUCCACUGCUUUCCCAGGCCAUAGCAGAGAGCUAGAAGUGGAGCAGCUGGGACUCAAACCGGUGCCCAUAUGGGAUUCUGGUACUGCAGGUGGCGGCUUCACCUGCUACACCACAGUGCUGGCCCAAAAAUUCUUUCAUAAUUUCUUAUGGGCCAAGGGCUCAUAACCACCGGAUUGUUGGGGCAGGCUGAGCAAGAGCCACAGGGUCUGCCCACAGCUGGGCCAGCAUGUGUGCCCACAGUUUGAUUCGGCCUCAGCAUAGGAAUCAGAUGGGGAUUUCCCACUGUUGAGAUGCAAUGGACAAGGUGGGUGGUUGUGUUGGCUUUGUCUGUCUCAUGGGUCCAAGGAGGGUUUUUUUUAUUUAAAUAAUUAUUUUUAUUUUAUUUAUAUGAAAGGGAGAGUGGCACACACAGAGGCAGAGACAGGGAGGGAUAUAUAUAUAUAUAUAGAGAGAGAGAGAGAGAGAGAGAGAGAAUCUUCCAUUGACUGGUUCACUCCCCUAAAUGGCUACAACAGCCAGGACUGGACCAGGCUGAAGCCAGCAGCCUGGAACUCCAUUCUGGUCUCCCACAAGGAUGGCAGGAGUCCAAGUACUUGGGCUGUCAUCUACAGCUUUCCCAGGUGCAUUAACAGGAAGCUGGAUCAGAAGUGGGGCAGCUGGGACUGGAACCAGGAUAAAAAUGCAGGUGUUGCAAGUGGCAGCUUAACCCACCGUGCCACAAUCCGGUCUUGGCCAACUGGUUUGAGUGGCAUGCUGAUGGGCCAAUCCUGCUUCAAAAAAAUUAAAAAAAAAAAAAAAAAAACUGGUUUAGAGCUGUUGUUGACUUGGUUCAUACAGUAUAAAGCAGUGAUUUUUCUUCUCAGGUGAACAAUGAAGUUCCUAUGCACUGUCUUGACCUUGUUGGGAUCACUGGAAUUCUGCCUGCCAGUCCCAAAGGAACUGACAUCGAAUCAUUCUUCCCGAAAUAGCGCCUGAUAGCGAGGACGCCAUGGUCAUCGGCCAGGGAGACUCCUGGUGGGAACGGUCUAUUCACUAAUCGACCUGCUGGACUCAAUAGAGAACAGCAAUUGGAGAUCAAAGAACACUCUGCGCUACAAAGGCAAGCCCAACUUUGGACCAGAUGUUUUUCCUCCAGCUCUGUCGGGCUUGAUCGAGUAUGGCUGCAGCUGGCCUGGUGCACACAACCAUUGGUAUGAAAAGCAAGAGGUGUGUGUGUGUGUGUGUAUACACGUGCGUGCAUGUGCACACUCAGGUCAGGGGUGGGGGGAGAGACAAGAGCAGCUUUAAAACCAAAAGGGGUUUGAAUGUAAGCUUAGGUGGGAUCCUAAGCAAUAAUUCUUUUGCUGUUUAUUUGCAAAGUGGAGACAAGGAAUGUGCUGUCAACUUUGCAAACGCUUACUAUCUAAUCAUUUAUGGUGAACUUCAAAAAGUUCAUGGAAAUGAAAUAAAAAUAUAAGUUUAAUUUGGUGCAAAAAAAUCUUUGAACUCCAUGGUUAGAUUUUUAUGAUAUGAUUUUUCAUGAAUUUUUGAAGAU